UUAAGCGACUAAGCGUACACGGUGGAUGCCCUGGCAGUCAGAGGCGAUGAAGGACGUGCUAAUCUGCGAAAAGCGUCGGUAAGGUGAUAUGAACCGUUAUAACCGGCGAUGUCCGAAUGGGGAAACCCAGUGUGAUUCGUCACACUAUCGUUAACUGAAUACAUAGGUUAACGAGGCGAACCGGGGGAACUGAAACAUCUAAGUACCCCGAGGAAAAGAAAUCAACCGAGAUUCCCCCAGUAGCGGCGAGCGAACGGGGAGCAGCCCAGAGUCUGAAUCAGCUUGUGUGUUAGUGGAACGGUCUGGAAAGUCCGACGGUACAGGGUGAUAGUCCCGUACACCAAAAUGCACAGGUUGUGAACUCGAAGAGUAGGGCGGGACACGUGGUAUCCUGUCUGAAUAUGGGGGGACCAUCCUCCAAGGCUAAAUACUCCUGACUGACCGAUAGUGAACCAGUACCGUGAGGGAAAGGCGAAAAGAACCCCGGCGAGGGGAGUGAAAAAGAACCUGAAACCGUGUACGUACAAGCAGUGGGAGCACCUUCGGGUGUGACUGCGUACCUUUUGUAUAAUGGGUCAGCGACUUAUAUUCUGUAGCAAGGUUAACCGUAUAGGGGAGCCGCAGGGAAACCGAGUCUUAACUGGGCGUUAAGUUGCAGGGUAUAGACCCGAAACCCGGUGAUCUAGCCAUGGGCAGGUUGAAGGUUGGGUAACACUAACUGGAGGACCGAACCGACUAAUGUUGAAAAAUUAGCGGAUGACUUGUGGCUGGGGGUGAAAGGCCAAUCAAACCGGGAGAUAGCUGGUUCUCCCCGAAAGCUAUUUAGGUAGCGCCUCGUGAACUCAUCUUCGGGGGUAGAGCACUGUUUCGGCUAGGGGGUCAUCCCGACUUACCAACCCGAUGCAAACUACGAAUACCGAAGAAUGUUAUCACGGGAGACACACGGCGGGUGCUAACGUCCGUCGUGAAGAGGGAAACAACCCAGACCGCCAGCUAAGGUCCCAAAGUCAUGGUUAAGUGGGAAACGAUGUGGGAAGGCACAGACAGCCAGGAUGUUGGCUUAGAAGCAGCCAUCAUUUAAAGAAAGCGUAAUAGCUCACUGGUCGAGUCGGCCUGCGCGGAAGAUGUAACGGGGCUAAACCAUGCACCGAAGCUGCGGCAGCGACACUAUGUGUUGUUGGGUAGGGGAGCGUUCUGUAAGCCUGCGAAGGUGUGCUGUGAGGCAUGCUGGAGGUAUCAGAAGUGCGAAUGCUGACAUAAGUAACGAUAAAGCGGGUGAAAAGCCCGCUCGCCGGAAGACCAAGGGUUCCUGUCCAACGUUAAUCGGGGCAGGGUGAGUCGACCCCUAAGGCGAGGCCGAAAGGCGUAGUCGAUGGGAAACAGGUUAAUAUUCCUGUACUUGGUGUUACUGCGAAGGGGGGACGGAGAAGGCUAUGUUAGCCGGGCGACGGUUGUCCCGGUUUAAGCAUGUAGGCUGAUUGUCCAGGCAAAUCCGGAUAAUCAAGGCUGAGGUGUGAUGACGAGGCACUACGGUGCUGAAGUAACAAAUGCCCUGCUUCCAGGAAAAGCCUCUAAGCAUCAGGUAACAUUAAAUCGUACCCCAAACCGACACAGGUGGUCAGGUAGAGAAUACCAAGGCGCUUGAGAGAACUCGGGUGAAGGAACUAGGCAAAAUGGUGCCGUAACUUCGGGAGAAGGCACGCUGGUGUGUAGGUGAAGUCCCUGCGGAUGGAGCUGAGACCAGUCGAAGAUACCAGCUGGCUGCAACUGUUUAUUAAAAACACAGCACUGUGCAAACACGAAAGUGGACGUAUACGGUGUGACGCCUGCCCGGUGCCGGAAGGUUAAUUGAUGGGGUUAUCCGUAAGGAGAAGCUCUUGAUCGAAGCCCCGGUAAACGGCGGCCGUAACUAUAACGGUCCUAAGGUAGCGAAAUUCCUUGUCGGGUAAGUUCCGACCUGCACGAAUGGCGUAAUGAUGGCCAGGCUGUCUCCACCCGAGACUCAGUGAAAUUGAACUCGCUGUGAAGAUGCAGUGUACCCGCGGCAAGACGGAAAGACCCCGUGAACCUUUACUAUAGCUUGACACUGAACAUUGAGCCUUGAUGUGUAGGAUAGGUGGGAGGCUUUGAAGCGUGGACGCCAGUCUGCGUGGAGCCAACCUUGAAAUACCACCCUUUAAUGUUUGAUGUUCUAACGUUGGCCCCUGACCGGGGUUGCGGACAGUGUCUGGUGGGUAGUUUGACUGGGGCGGUCUCCUCCCAAAGCGUAACGGAGGAGCACGAAGGUUAGCUAAUCCUGGUCGGACAUCAGGAGGUUAGUGCAAUGGCAUAAGCUAGCUUGACUGCGAGCGUGACGGCGCGAGCAGGUGCGAAAGCAGGUCAUAGUGAUCCGGUGGUUCUGAAUGGAAGGGCCAUCGCUCAACGGAUAAAAGGUACUCCGGGGAUAACAGGCUGAUACCGCCCAAGAGUUCAUAUCGACGGCGGUGUUUGGCACCUCGAUGUCGGCUCAUCACAUCCUGGGGCUGAAGUAGGUCCCAAGGGUAUGGCUGUUCGCCAUUUAAAGUGGUACGCGAGCUGGGUUUAGAACGUCGUGAGACAGUUCGGUCCCUAUCUGCCGUGGGCGCUGGAGAAUUGAGGGGGGCUGCUCCUAGUACGAGAGGACCGGAGUGGACGCAUCACUGGUGUUCGGGUUGUCAUGCCAAUGGCACUGCCCGGUAGCUAAAUGCGGAAGAGAUAAGUGCUGAAAGCAUCUAAGCACGAAACUUGCCCCGAGAUGAGUUCUCCCUGAGACUUUAAGUCUCCUGAAGGAACGUUGAAGACGACGACGUUGAUAGGCCGGGUGUGUAAGCGCAGCGAUGCGUUGAGCUAACCGGUACUAAUGAACCGUGAGGCUUAACCUU
This 2900-nucleotide ribosomal RNA is filed under the name Klebsiella pneumoniae BIDMC 42a. RNAcentral's name for it is "bacterial LSU rRNA". It matches the Rfam family "Bacterial large subunit ribosomal RNA". RNAcentral also lists the same sequence under 1 other name. Lineage: Bacteria; Pseudomonadati; Pseudomonadota; Gammaproteobacteria; Enterobacterales; Enterobacteriaceae. The record is from RNAcentral.